This 2771-nucleotide long non-coding RNA is filed under the name Mus musculus (house mouse). RNAcentral's name for it is "long non-coding RNA chr16:34351129-34353900". Lineage: Eukaryota; Metazoa; Chordata; Mammalia; Rodentia; Muridae. The record is from RNAcentral.
ACUUUCUUCUUAGAAGAGCUGUGUGCAGGCAUUAAAAACUAGGCUGACUGGAGAGGCCUCAGGACAGCCCUCUUUCUUCAGAAAUGAGAAGCCACGGUUUCCCAGUCAUUUAAUCAGUUGUAUCAGGGACUCUUCUGAGUAAGUUCUCUCCCUGUGAAGAUGGGAAGAGGAAGGACCUUCCUCAACCUGGACAGCAGGAGGUAAAACAAUGACAGUUGUUUCCUGAUACUUCUUGUGGACGUCAGCUUCUAAGUGGGCAUUGUGAAGUGACGAUGGCUGCCAUCACACAAGACUGAGGCGUCUCACCAUGUGUGGAAGGUAGGUAUUUUAAGAUCCUUCUCAGGUCUAAUAUGUUAAAUGUUAGCCAAGGCUCCGAGGAAGCAGUAUCUAGAGAAGAGCCUACACUGUAAAGUAUCCACCCCUUUCCCUUCUGUAAGCCCUGAACCCGGUUACAGACCUUUGAUUCUACACACAGCCCACCUAUGGAAGAGGCCCACCCUUCUCUUUGGUUAUAGGCUAUGGUUAUACUGCAUACAUUUUCCUCACAUGGGGCCCACUGUAGCCCGGCCCAGAUGUGGCUAAAAACAAAGCUGUAUAGAACAGUAUAAUCCAUGCCAGCCUAACAAGUAGCAAGUGGGUCUGUGUUCUUCUGUGAACACAGUGCUGUAUCGGUCCAUUAGUUACAGACCAGAGGGCGCUGGGCUCAGGCAGAGUGGCUCACCUCCCAGCAUCGCAGGCUAGUUAAAUCAUCUCGGAAUUACCCAACACUCCCAGCUUCCUUAUUAAGGCCUCUCCAUCACUCCCCAGUUCUGAUGUUCCCUCUUCCCUGGGAACUCCCAGUCACAGCAGAUAUGCCUAGGGCAGUUCAGGUCACAGCAGAUAUUAAGUAAGAGUAAAGGGAGAAGGGGCGGGGCAUUUAAAGCAAUGGUUCUCAAACUUCAGGAUGCAUCAAUCUUUUUAUACAGCUCUUUAUGUUGUGGUGACCCCAAACAAAAAAAUUAUUUUCAUCACCACUUCACAGCUGUGAUUCUGCUACUGUUAUGAAUCGUAAUGUAAACAUCUGUUGAUUUUUUUUUCUUUUCUGACUGUCUUAGGCAACCUUUGUGAAAGACACAGUCAACCCCCAGAGGGUCGAGACCCACAGGUUGAGAACCUCUGAUUUAGCUGGUGAGCAUGCAUGUGAUGGUUUCAAGGUGUCUCCUCACAAUAGUUUCAUCAGAUUAUCUUAAAUAUGUGCUUUGUUAUAGAUCAGCUAAGCCUCACAUCUGUUUGGCCACAUAGAGAAGCAGGUGUAGAUAUAUCUGUCUUUUUUUACUGACUAGUAGGCUACUUGGGGUUGGAAAUUCCAGCCUACACAUAUUUACCCAAGUAGCUCAUUUGUGCUCAGGACUAUUUCUCUGCACUCAUACUUAUAUAAACAGGGGGUGGGAAUGCUCUAUGACAUCCAUAGGAUAGAACCUCCCCGUCUUCUUCUAAGACUUAUAAUACAGGGGGGCUAUCACAGGGGUCAGGAAAGGUGGUAAGAGACUGCUUCAUUCUCAAAGUUUGGUUCAGGAGUGGAGAGCCUCCAGCUUAUUAUUAAUGCCCAGAGGGCAAGUAGUCACCUCUCAGGGCCAGAGGAGAGACUCUGUCCUCACCCCUGUUACAAAAAUAGUUAUGGAGUGGCCACCGUACUUCCUGGCAAACAUGUCCCAGCUCUGGAGAGGCGUCACUGACCUCUACCAGCCCUGUGAGGAGGCCGAGGUGCAGCUCAGACAGGAACUGUUUCCCAUGCCCUUGUUUAGAUGUGGCUGUGCACACAGCCCUCCCUCCAAACCAUCACCCCUCUGACCUCUGUCCAAAAGCACCAAAUAAGUCACAGGCUGAGGCACUUAGCUCCGAGUGGCUCUUCUGAAUCCAUCUGGACGCAGCUCAAAAGCACUGUUUUUCACCCUGGCUCCACAGCCAGCGCAGUUUUUGUGGCAGCUGGGUCAAGUCUAAGCAGCACCUCCUCACUGACCAAUGCCACCACCCUCCCCCACCUCUGCUUUGUUUUUAACAUUCUCUGACUUUCUCUGACUACCUCUACCCAAUACACAAACAUACAUUCAUAUACCUGCACAAAUACACUUCUUUAUCUUUUAAAUAUGAUUUACUAUACGGGUAGGAGUGUUUUGCCAGCAUAUGUAUGUAUGUGUGGUGCCCACAGAGAUCAGAAGAGGGUGUUGGAUCCCCUGGGAAUGAAGUCACAAACAACUGUGAGUCCUCUCAUGGUUGCUGGGAAUGAAUCCUGAGUCCUCUGAAAGAACAGCGUGUGUUCUUCAUCCUUGCACCCUCUCUCCAGCCCCCUUCUCUCUCUAAGGUGUAGUACACAUCACGGAAGAUGGGUUCUAAACUGAGUUCAUGGAUUUAAUGCAGUGAUAGUAAGAGCUUAAAUCUGGCGGAAAUACAGCAUUCCUUUCCAUUAUGAGCACAGAAGACUAACUAUCCAGAGUUAGUGGAACCAGUUUUUUGUUUGUUUGUUUGUUUGGCUGGUUUUUUGUUUGUUUGUUUGUUUGUUUUUUGAUACGAGCAGCAAUGUAAGCACUUCCCUGUCACAUCAGGGUGCUGUCCUGAAAUGCCAUCCAUGUUUAUCACUGUUUCCAAGUGACGGUGGCAAUGAGACGUCAAGCGGAUCUUGUAUUUGUCACGUUAAAAAAAGAAGUUCAUACUUUUUAAAGUUAAUUCUAUAUUUUAUUUGCUUUAUAAACCUAUGUAUACUCUUUUUUAUACUUAAAUAAAAUAUUACUAUG